AAAGGCGCUUUCGGGUGUCGCUGAUGGAUGGACCCGCGGUGCAUUAGCUAGUUGGUGAGGUAACGGCUCACCAAGGCCACGAUGCAUAGCCGACCUGAGAGGGUGAUCGGCCACAUUGGGACUGAGACACGGCCCAAACUCCUACGGGAGGCAGCAGUAGGGAAUCUUCGGCAAUGGACGAAAGUCUGACCGAGCAACGCCGCGUGAGUGAAGAAGGUUUUCGGAUCGUAAAACUCUGUUGUUAGAGAAGAACAAGGAUGAGAGUAACUGUUCAUCCCUUGACGGUAUCUAACCAGAAAGCCACGGCUAACUACGUGCCAGCAGCCGCGGUAAUACGUAGGUGGCAAGCGUUGUCCGGAUUUAUUGGGCGUAAAGCGAGCGCAGGCGGUUUCUUAAGUCUGAUGUGAAAGCCCCCGGCUCAACCGGGGAGGGUCAUUGGAAACUGGGAGACUUGAGUGCAGAAGAGGAGAGUGGAAUUCCAUGUGUAGCGGUGAAAUGCGUAGAUAUAUGGAGGAACACCAGUGGCGAAGGCGGCUCUCUGGUCUGUAACUGACGCUGAGGCUCGAAAGCGUGGGGAGCAAACAGGAUUAGAUACCCUGGUAGUCCACGCCGUAAACGAUGAGUGCUAAGUGUUGGAGGGUUUCCGCCCUUCAGUGCUGCAGCUAACGCAUUAAGCACUCCGCCUGGGGAGUACGACCGCAAGGUUGAAACUCAAAGGAAUUGACGGGGGCCCGCACAAGCGGUGGAGCAUGUGGUUUAAUUCGAAGCAACGCGAAGAACCUUACCAGGUCUUGACAUCCUUUGACCACUCUAGAGAUAGAGCUUCCCCUUCGGGGGCAAAGUGACAGGUGGUGCAUGGUUGUCGUCAGCUCGUGUCGUGAGAUGUUGGGUUAAGUCCCGCAACGAGCGCAACCCUUAUUGUUAGUUGCCAUCAUUCAGUUGGGCACUCUAGCAAGACUGCCGGUGACAAACCGGAGGAAGGUGGGGAUGACGUCAAAUCAUCAUGCCCCUUAUGACCUGGGCUACACACGUGCUACAAUGGGAAGUACAACGAGU
This 1056-nucleotide ribosomal RNA is filed under the name Enterococcus faecium. RNAcentral's name for it is "bacterial SSU rRNA". It matches the Rfam family "Bacterial small subunit ribosomal RNA", at positions 202 to 1247 of the family's 1533-position model. The record is from RNAcentral. Lineage: Bacteria; Bacillati; Bacillota; Bacilli; Lactobacillales; Enterococcaceae.